This is a small nuclear RNA of Suncus etruscus (white-toothed pygmy shrew), 102 nucleotides long. The record is from RefSeq and is a predicted model, not a curated record. Lineage: Eukaryota; Metazoa; Chordata; Mammalia; Eulipotyphla; Soricidae.
GUGCUUUGGUAGCACAUAGACUAAAAUUGGAACCAUACAGAGAAGAUUAGAUGGCCUCUGUGCAAGGAUGACAUGCAAAUUCGUGAAGCGUUCCAUAUUUUA